UACGGAGGGGGCCAGCGUUGUUCGGAAUUAUUGGGCGUAAAGGGCGCGUAGGCGGCGGAGUAAGUCUGGCGUGAAAUCCCUCGGCCCAACCGGGGAACUGCGCUUGAAACUGCUCAGCUCGAGUCCGGGAGAGGGUAGCGGAAUUCCCAGUGUAGCGGUGAAAUGCGUAGAUAUUGGGAGGAACACCGGUGGCGAAGGCGGCUACCUGGACCGGUACUGACGCUGAGGCGCGAAAGCUAGGGGAGCAAACAGG
This 253-nucleotide ribosomal RNA is filed under the name uncultured bacterium. RNAcentral describes it as "partial 16S ribosomal RNA". It matches the Rfam family "Bacterial small subunit ribosomal RNA", at positions 524 to 776 of the family's 1533-position model. The record is from RNAcentral.